GAAAUGCGAUACGUAAUGUGAAUUGCAGACCGUGAAUCAUCUAAUCUUUGAACGCAUAUUGCGCUCUCUGGUAUUCCGGAGAGCAUGCCUGUUUGAGAAUCGUUAAAUAAAAUCAUUCCUUUGGAGGAACUCCUUUUUAUGAGAUCCAUUCAAAAUUGGAAUUGGACUUGAACGAUUAUCCUUAGUAGGGAUACCGUUUGUAAAACAGUGUUAACCUUGAUUUUAAGAAAUUUAUAAAGGAAUAAAAGACGUGUUUACUUGAUGUUUUCAUCAUUACUUUACGGCCUUUUUGUUUAUAUAAAGUACUGAGUCACAUAAGGUUUUAACUUGACCAAACAAAGUUUUUGAUAACUUUGACCACAUUUUUUUAUACUACUUAGCACUAGUGUAAAAAAAUUUAAAUUGGUCUCAAAUCAGGCAAGAGUACCCGCUGAACUUAAGC
This 442-nucleotide unclassified non-coding RNA is filed under the name plant metagenome. RNAcentral's name for it is "partial contains 5.8S ribosomal RNA, internal transcribed spacer 2, and large subunit ribosomal RNA". The stretch from base 1 to 102 matches the Rfam family "5.8S ribosomal RNA", at positions 50 to 154 of the family's 154-position model. The record is from RNAcentral.